CAGCCGCGGUAAUACGGAGGGUGCGAGCGUUAAUCGGAAUUACUGGGCGUAAAGCGCGCGUAGGCGGUUUGUUAAGUCGGAUGUGAAAUCCCCGGGCUCAACCUGGGAAUGGCAUUCGAUACUGGCCGACUAGAGUACGAGAGAGGGAGGUAGAAUUCCACGUGUAGCGGUGAAAUGCGUAGAUAUGUGGAGGAAUACCGGUGGCGAAGGCGGCCUCCUGGCUCGAUACUGACGCUGAGGUGCGAAAGCGUGGGUAGCAAACAGGAUUAGAUACCCUGGUAGUCCACGCCGUAAACGAUGUCUACUAGCCGUUGGGAGACUUGAUUUCUUAGUGGCGCAGCUAACGCACUAAGUAGACCGCCUGGGGAGUACGGCCGCAAGGUUAAAACUCAAAUGAAUUGACGGGGGCCCGCACAAGCGGUGGAGCAUGUGGUUUAAUUCGAUGCAACGCGAAGAACCUUACCAGGUCUUGACAUCCUCGGAACUUGGCAGAGAUGCCUUGGUGCCUUCGGGAACCGAGAGACAGGUGCUGCAUGGCUGUCGUCAGCUCGUGUCGUGAGAUGUUGGGUUAAGUCCCGUAACGAGCGCAACCCUUGUCCUUAGUUGCCAGCGCGUAAUGGCGGGAACUCUAAGGAGACUGCCGGUGACAAACCGGAGGAAGGUGGGGACGACGUCAAGUCAUCAUGGCCCUUACGACCUGGGCUACACACGUGCUACAAUGGAACGCACAGAGGGUUGCAACCUCGCGAGAGUGAGCCAAUCCCACAAAACGUUUCGUAGUCCGGAUCGGAGUCUGCAACUCGACUCCGUGAAGUCGGAAUCGCUAGUAAUCGCGGAUCAGAAUGCCGCGGUGAAUACGUUCCCGGGCCUUGU
RNAcentral lists this ribosomal RNA (873 nucleotides) under uncultured Gammaproteobacteria bacterium. RNAcentral's name for it is "bacterial SSU rRNA". It matches the Rfam family "Bacterial small subunit ribosomal RNA", at positions 512 to 1384 of the family's 1533-position model. Lineage: Bacteria; Pseudomonadati; Pseudomonadota; Gammaproteobacteria. The record is from RNAcentral.